CUCUGGGAUAACCUCCGGAAACGGAAGCUAAUACCGGAUAUGACGCACGGAGGCAUCUCCUGUGCGUGGAAAGAACUUCGGUCAAGGAUGGACUCGCGGCCUAUCAGGUAGUUGGUGAGGUAACGGCCCACCAAGCCUACGACGGGUAGCCGGCCUGAGAGGGUGACCGGCCACACUGGGACUGAGACACGGCCCAGACUCCUACGGGAGGCAGCAGUGGGGAAUAUUGCACAAUGGGCGCAAGCCUGAUGCAGCAACGCCGCGUGAGGGAUGACGGCCUUCGGGUUGUAAACCUCUUUUAGUAGGGAAGAAGCGAAAGUGACGGUACCUGCAGAAAAAGCACCGGCUAACUACGUGCCAGCAGCCGCGGUAAUACGUAGGGUGCGAGCGUUGUCCGGAAUUAUUGGGCGUAAAGAGCUCGUAGGCGGUCUGUCGCGUCUGCUGUGAAAACCCGAGGCUCAACCUCGGGCCUGCAGUGGGUACGGGCAGACUAGAGUGCGGUAGGGGAGAAUGGAAUUCCUGGUGUAGCGGUGGAAUGCGCAGAUAUCAGGAGGAACACCGAUGGCGAAGGCAGUUCUCUGGGCCGUAACUGACGCUGAGGAGCGAAAGCGUGGGGAGCGAACAGGAUUAGAUACCCUGGUAGUCCACGCCGUAAACGUUGGGCG
RNAcentral lists this ribosomal RNA (665 nucleotides) under Leifsonia sp. RNAcentral describes it as "bacterial SSU rRNA". It matches the Rfam family "Bacterial small subunit ribosomal RNA", at positions 136 to 815 of the family's 1533-position model. Lineage: Bacteria; Bacillati; Actinomycetota; Actinomycetes; Micrococcales; Microbacteriaceae. The record is from RNAcentral.